RNAcentral lists this non-coding RNA (102 nucleotides) under Brevibacillus brevis. RNAcentral's name for it is "SAM-I sequence". It matches the Rfam family "SAM riboswitch aptamer (S box leader)". From Rfam's summary of the family: The SAM riboswitch is found upstream of a number of genes which code for proteins involved in methionine or cysteine biosynthesis in Gram-positive bacteria. The SAM riboswitch acts at the level of transcription termination control. The predicted structure consists of a complex stem-loop region followed by a single stem loop terminator region. Lineage: Bacteria; Bacillati; Bacillota; Bacilli; Caryophanales; Paenibacillaceae. RNAcentral also lists the same sequence under 1 other name. The record is from RNAcentral.
CUCUUAUCCAGAGCAGGCGGAGGGACUGGCCCUAUGAAGCCCGGCAACCGAGCUAGAGCGGUGCUAACCAGCAGAACGGACAUCUGUUCUGGCCGAUAAGAG